UACGGAGGGUGCGAGCGUUAAUCGGAAUUACUGGGCGUAAAGGGUGCGUAGGUUGUUGAAUAAGUUAUCUGUAAAAUCCCUGGGCUUAACCUGGGCAGGUCAGAUAAGACUGUUUGACUCGAGUAUAGGAGAGGGUAGUGGAAUUUCCGGUGUAGCGGUGAAAUGCGUAGAGAUCGGAAGGAACACCAGUGGCGAAGGCGGCUACCUGGCCUGAUACUGACACUGAGGCACGAAAGCGUGGGGAGCAAACAGG
RNAcentral lists this ribosomal RNA (253 nucleotides) under uncultured bacterium. RNAcentral's name for it is "partial 16S ribosomal RNA". It matches the Rfam family "Bacterial small subunit ribosomal RNA", at positions 524 to 776 of the family's 1533-position model. The record is from RNAcentral.